GGUUUAAAAGGACAACAGGGACUCGUGGGGCCUGCAGGCCAAAAGGGUGAAAUUGGCGCUGUAGGAAUGACUGGUCCGGUUGGGCUUCCUGGUAAAGAUGGAGCACCUGGACCACCAGGAGAAGAUGGAACUCCAGGAGCCAAAGGAGCCUCUGGUGAACCAGGAAAACAGGGUCCAGUCGGCCCGGUGGGCCCGCAGGGAAUCCAGGGCGAUAAAGGUGACCUAGGACUCAUGGGCCCUCGUGGAAUCAAGGGUCACACAGGU
This is a long non-coding RNA of Carassius auratus (goldfish), 264 nucleotides long. RefSeq lists it as uncharacterized. NCBI's taxonomy places the organism in Eukaryota, Metazoa, Chordata, Actinopteri, Cypriniformes, Cyprinidae. The transcript is spliced from 5 exons. The record is from RefSeq and is a predicted model, not a curated record.